Molecule: long non-coding RNA, 325 nt
Organism: Manacus vitellinus (golden-collared manakin)
Lineage: Eukaryota; Metazoa; Chordata; Aves; Passeriformes; Pipridae
Exons: 3
Source: RefSeq, a predicted model, not a curated record
UCAAAGUCAACUGGUUGCCGCCUCCGGCGGGAUCCCAGAACGGAUUCCUGACGGGAUAUAAAAUCCGCCACCGGAAAACCGCCCGGCGAGGGGAGAUGGAAACCUUGGAACCCAACAACCUCUGGUACCUGUUCACGGGGUUGGAAAAGGGCAGCCAGUACAGCUUCCAGGUGUCGGCCAUGACGGUGAACGGGACGGGCCCGGCCUCGGAAUGGGUGACGGCGGAGACGCCGGAGAACGACCUGGAUGAAUCCCAAGUGCCCGACCAACCCAGUUCCCUCCACGUCCGGCCCUUGGCCACCGGCAUCGUGAUGACCUGGACGCC